Molecule: ribosomal RNA, 497 nt
Filed under: uncultured bacterium
Lineage: Bacteria
Description: partial 16S ribosomal RNA
Rfam family: Bacterial small subunit ribosomal RNA
Source: RNAcentral
GAUGAACGCUGGCGGCGUGCCUAAUACAUGCAAGUCGAGCGAACAGACGAGGAGCUUGCUCCUCUGACGUUAGCGGCGGACGGGUGAGUAACACGUGGAUAACCUACCUAUAAGACUGGGAUAACUUCGGGAAACCGGAGCUAAUACCGGAUAACAUGUUGAACCGCAUGGUUCAACAGUGAAAGACGGUCUUGCUGUCACUUAUAGAUGGAUCCGCGCCGCAUUAGCUAGUUGGUAAGGUAACGGCUUACCAAGGCAACGAUGCGUAGCCGACCUGAGAGGGUGAUCGGCCACACUGGAACUGAGACACGGUCCAGACUCCUUCGGGAGGCAGCAGUAGGGAAUCUUCCGCAAUGGGCGAAAGCCUGACGGAGCAACGCCGCGUGAGUGAAGAAGGUCUUCGGAUCGUAAAACUCUGUUAUUAGGGAAGAACAAAUGUGUAAGUAACUAUGCACGUCUUGACGGUACCUAAUCAGAAAGCCACGGCUAACUACGUG